GAUGAACGCUGGCGGCGUGCCUAAUAUAUGCAAGUCGAGCGAACAGAUGAGGAGCUUGCUCCUCUGACGUUAGCGGCGGACGGGUGAGUAACACGUGGAUAACCUACCUAUAAGACUGGGAUAACUUCGGGAAACCGGAGCUAAUACCGGAUAAUAUAUUGAACCGCAUGGUUCAAUAGUGAAAGACGGUUUUGCUGUCACUUAUAGAUGGAUCCGCGCCGCAUUAGCUAGAUGGUAAGGUAACGGCUUACCAAGGCAACGAUGCGUAGCCGACCUGAGAGGGUGAUCGGCCACACUGGAACUGAGACACGGUCCAGACUCCUACGGGAGGCAGCAGUAGGGAAUCUUCCGCAAUGGGCGAAAGCCUGACGGAGCAACGCCGCGUGAGUGAUGAAGGUCUUCGGAUCGUAAAACUCUGUUAUUAGGGAAGAACAAAUGUGUAAGUAACUAUGCACGUCUCGACGGUACCUAAUCAGAAAGCCACGGCUAACUACGUG
This 497-nucleotide ribosomal RNA is filed under the name uncultured bacterium. Its description in RNAcentral is "partial 16S ribosomal RNA". It matches the Rfam family "Bacterial small subunit ribosomal RNA", at positions 28 to 507 of the family's 1533-position model. The record is from RNAcentral.